This 66-nucleotide transfer RNA is filed under the name Capitonius sp. QL-2013. RNAcentral's name for it is "tRNA-Leu". Lineage: Eukaryota; Metazoa; Arthropoda; Insecta; Hymenoptera; Braconidae. The record is from RNAcentral.
UCUAUUAUGGCAGAUUAGUGCAAUGAAUUUAAGAUUCAUAUAUAAAAUUAAAAAUUUUUGUUAGAA